RNAcentral lists this transfer RNA (72 nucleotides) under Ovis aries (sheep). It matches the Rfam family "tRNA". Rfam says of the family: Transfer RNA (tRNA) molecules are approximately 80 nucleotides in length. Their secondary structure includes four short double-helical elements and three loops (D, anti-codon, and T loops). The record is from Rfam by way of RNAcentral. Lineage: Eukaryota; Metazoa; Chordata; Mammalia; Artiodactyla; Bovidae.
UUCCCAGUGGCUCAGUGGUAAAGAAUCUGCCUGCCAAUGCAGGAGACACAGGUUCGAUCCCUGAUUUGGGAA